UACGUAGGGGGCAAGCGUUGUCCGGAAUUAUUGGGCGUAAAGAGCGUGUAGGCGGUCCGGUAAGUCAGCUGUGAAAGUCAAGGGCUCAACCCUUGAAUGCCGGUGGAUACUGUCGGGCUAGAGUGCGGAAGAGGCGAGUGGAAUUCCUGGUGUAGCGGUGAAAUGCGCAGAUAUCAGGAGGAACACCUAUUGCGAAGGCAGCUCGCUGGGACGGUACUGACGCUGAGACGCGAAAGCGUGGGGAGCGAACAGG
RNAcentral lists this ribosomal RNA (253 nucleotides) under uncultured bacterium. RNAcentral describes it as "partial 16S ribosomal RNA". It matches the Rfam family "Bacterial small subunit ribosomal RNA", at positions 524 to 776 of the family's 1533-position model. The record is from RNAcentral.